Molecule: long non-coding RNA, 1706 nt
Filed under: Olea europaea (common olive)
Lineage: Eukaryota; Viridiplantae; Streptophyta; Magnoliopsida; Lamiales; Oleaceae
Description: long non-coding RNA (OEUR_LNC003867)
Source: RNAcentral
AUUCAUUCACAAGAUUGUUGUUUAGACCAGAAUUCAAAUUUGGGUUUAUGAAUUCAUUCUCUAAAUUAUUCAUAUAUGGUCGAGAAAUCUGCUCCCAUUCAGUCUCUUGAAGGAACGUGGCUGCAUCUUGAUAAAGGUCAAGCUCACUCAACCCGUCAAUAAGUAAACAAAUUUUAAUCAGUCAAAAUGGAAACUAAUUAAUUUUUACUAAAAUCGCUCUCUUACUUUUUCAUAAAUCCAAGACAUCCAAACAUAUUCAGAAGUAAAAAAUUAUUUAAGGUACUUUUAAGCUUAGUCAAACAUGCCCACGCCCUUUGUUACACUUUGAUGAUAGAAUCAUGGUCAUUUUCAAUCCACUGUGUAUGACAUGAUGCAUUAAUGGCAUGUUUGGUAAUGUUGCAAUGUAGUUGACAAAAAAUUAGACUGCCACAUCACCUUUUCCAUUAGUCAAUUCAAUCGACAUAACAAAACUUAAGUUCAAUGACCAACUUAAAACAAAAUGAAAUUAACAUGAAAUUUUGCUAAAAAUUUAGUCACCGCCAAUGCAUUUAGGCGAUUGACUGGUCAUUAUUUUGAUACUAAUGAAGUACCAAAUCAAAACUUAGUAUUUACAUAUAAGUAUAGAUAGCUACAUAUCAACCAUUUAUUCUUACAGAUGUUCCAAUCAGCACCCAUAAGAUGGCGCAUAAUACUCCAAGCAAAGAAAAACACAAAAUACUUAUCGGUUUGCUUGAGCUUCUUGAAGUUGCAGAGGUAUUAUUACCUGUAGCAACGUUAGCGUUUCCAGCGUUCAACCUUAUCCUACGGAAGCUAGAAAUUCGCUCAAAAGCCUUAUUUACCAAAGCACUUUCAGAAGCUGAAGCAGGAGUCGUAGGUAUAGAAUCCACGAAGUCCCAAAGAGCAGAAGAGAACCACGAGUUUGUACCGUCAUCUUGUUCGCCACUUUGAUUUUGAUUUGCUUCGGUAGAAUGAUUGAAAGAAUUACUAUAAUGUACCACACCUAAACAUAUGAAAACUUGGUAAAUCAGAAAACAAUCUUAACAUUAUGUGAUUAGAAGAAGAGCUCUUCAAGCUGGCUCAAACUCCCCCCAUUUCCACUUGGGCACGAGAGUUCUUGCCGUGUGGAUGAUGACAUGGUCUUCCCAUACCAUCCAUCUGAUCAACAGGAGCUCUUCGAUAUUAGUGAAAAGAGAUUUUAAUGUUGUACAAAUAUAUGAGCAAUUAACUGAGAUUACAGAUACAUUCAAGCUGCGCAAAAAUGUCAUCAUUGACGUUUGCAAUUAAUUCAGUACCUGAAAUAGGUGAAGGAAUGACCCUCAGAUUUGCUUCCGUAGCAGAAAAAUGGCUGAAUCCUUGCUCAUGCAUCCACGGCUGACAAAUGACUUUAUUUAAAGGGGACUCGAGCACCUGGUAAUUCACAGAUUCAUUCACAAGAUUGUUGUUUAGACCAGAAUUCAAAUUUGGGUUUAUGAAUUCAUUCUCUAAAUUAUUCAUAUAUGGUCGAGAAAUCUGCUCCCAUUCAGUCUCUUGAAGGAACGUGGCUGCAUCUUGAUAAAGGUCAAGCUCACUCAACCCGUCAAACUGCAGCUCUUCCAUGAUGUCUGUUGCCUUAUCAAGAGUUUGAGAGGCUGGUUCCUGACCAAUUAGAUCAUCCAGUUCAAGAAAAUCUUCAAGGUCCUGUUCAGCUGUAUGAAGCUCUUGGCCAU